GAUGAACGCUGGCGGCGUGCCUAAUACAUGCAAGUCGAGCGAACAGACGAGGAGCUUGCUCCUCUGACGUUAGCGGCGGACGGGUGAGUAACACGUGGAUAACCUACCUAUAAGACUGGGAUAACUUCGGGAAACCGGUGCUAAUACCGGAUAAUAUAUUGAACCGCAUGGUUCAAUAGUGAAAGACGGUUUUGCUGUCCCUUCUAGAUGGCACCGGGCCGCAUUAGCUAGUUGGUAAGGUAACGGCUUACCAAGGCGACGGUGCGUAGCCGACCUGAGAGGGGGAUCGGCCACACUGGAACUGAGACACGGUCCAGACUCCUACGGGAGGCAGCAGUAGGGAAUCGUCCGCAAUGGGCGAAGGCCUGACGGAGCAACGGCGCGUGAGUGAUGAAGGUCUGCGGAUCGUAAAACUCUGUUAUUAGUGAAGAACAAAUGUGUAAGUAACUAUGCACGUCUUGACGGUACCUAAUCAGAAAGCCACGGCUAACUACGUG
RNAcentral lists this ribosomal RNA (497 nucleotides) under uncultured bacterium. Its description in RNAcentral is "partial 16S ribosomal RNA". It matches the Rfam family "Bacterial small subunit ribosomal RNA", at positions 28 to 507 of the family's 1533-position model. The record is from RNAcentral.